UACGUAGGGUGCGAGCGUUGUCCGGAAUUAUUGGGCGUAAAGAGCUCGUAGGCGGUCUGUCGCGUCGGUCGUGAAAACUUGGGGCUUAACCCUGAGCUUGCGGUCGAUACGGGCAUGACUGGAGUUCGGCAGGGGAGACUGGAAUUCCUGGUGUAGCGGUGAAAUGCGCAGAUAUCGGGAGGAACACCAAUGGCGAAGGCAGCUCGCUGGGACGGUACUGACGCUGAGACGCGAAAGCGUGGGGAGCAAACAGG
This 254-nucleotide ribosomal RNA is filed under the name uncultured bacterium. RNAcentral's name for it is "partial 16S ribosomal RNA". It matches the Rfam family "Bacterial small subunit ribosomal RNA", at positions 524 to 776 of the family's 1533-position model. The record is from RNAcentral.